GACGAACGCUGGCGGCGUGCUUAACACAUGCAAGUCGAACGGACGAGUGAGAUAAGUUUACUUAACUCACAAGUUAGUGGCGGACGGGUGAGUAACACGUGGAUAAUCUACCUGCAACACCGGGAUAACGCUGUGAAAACGGUGCUAAUACCGGAUACGUUCCCUUGUGCGCAUGUAUGAGGGAAGAAAGCUCAGGCGGUUGCAGAUGAGUCCGCGGCUGAUUAGCUAGUUGGUGAGGUAAAGGCUCACCAAGGCGAUGAUCAGUAGCCGGCCUGAGAGGGUGAACGGCCCGAGGGGCACUGAGAUACGGGUCCCACUCCUACGGGAGGCAGCAGGCUAGAAAUUUGGGCAAUGGGGGAAACCCUGACCCAGUGACGCCGCGUGCAGGAAGGAGCCCUUCGGGGUGUAAACUGCUGUCGUGUAGGGAGAAGGGUACUAAGGUGAACAAUCUUAGUACUUGACGGUACUACAGGAGGAAGCCCAGGCUAACCUCGUGCCAGCAGCCGAC
This 508-nucleotide ribosomal RNA is filed under the name uncultured bacterium. RNAcentral's name for it is "bacterial SSU rRNA". It matches the Rfam family "Bacterial small subunit ribosomal RNA", at positions 28 to 518 of the family's 1533-position model. The record is from RNAcentral.